GAGGGUAUAGCUCAGUGGUAGAGUGCAUGGCUGAGCAUGCAUGAGGUCCUGGGUUCAAUCCACGGUACCUCCA
RNAcentral lists this transfer RNA (73 nucleotides) under Camelus bactrianus (Bactrian camel). It matches the Rfam family "tRNA". Rfam says of the family: Transfer RNA (tRNA) molecules are approximately 80 nucleotides in length. Their secondary structure includes four short double-helical elements and three loops (D, anti-codon, and T loops). Lineage: Eukaryota; Metazoa; Chordata; Mammalia; Artiodactyla; Camelidae. The record is from Rfam by way of RNAcentral. RNAcentral also lists the same sequence under 2 other names.